GACGAACGCUGGCGGCGUGGAUUAGGCAUGCAAGUCGAACGGUAGGAUACCUUCGGGUAUCUGAGAGUGGCGAACGGGUGAGUAACACGUAGGUGAUCUACCCUCAAGAUUGGGACAACCCAGGGAAACUUGGGCUAAUACCGGAUGAAAGCAGCAGUGAUGUUGUUUGAAAGGUGGCGUAAGCUGCCGUUUGGGGAUGAGCCUGCGCUCUAUUAGUUAGUUGGCGGGGUAAAGGCCCACCAAGGCGAUGAUAGAUAGGCGGCCUUAACGGGUGGUCGCCCACACUGGGAUUGAGAUACGGCCCAGACUCCCACGGGAGGCAGCAGUCGAGAAUAGUCUACAAUGGCCGAAAGGCUGAUAGUGCGACGCCGCGUGAACGAAGAAGCCCUUCGGGGUGUAAAGUUCUUUUAUAUGUGAGCAGUGCUUUCUAUGUGAACAGCAUGGGGAGAGAGAUAUUAGCAUAUGAAUAAGCAACGGCUAACUCCGUGCCAGCAC
RNAcentral lists this ribosomal RNA (495 nucleotides) under uncultured bacterium. RNAcentral's name for it is "bacterial SSU rRNA". It matches the Rfam family "Bacterial small subunit ribosomal RNA", at positions 28 to 514 of the family's 1533-position model. The record is from RNAcentral.